GACGAACGCUGGCGGCGUGCUUAACACAUGCAAGUCGAACGGAAAGGCCCUGCUUUUGUGGGGUGCUCGAGUGGCGAACGGGUGAGUAACACGUGAGUAACCUGCCCUUGACUUUGGGAUAACUUCAGGAAACUGGGGCUAAUACCGGAUAGGAGCUCCUGCUGCAUGGUGGGGGUUGGAAAGUUUCGGCGGUUGGGGAUGGACUCGCGGCUUAUCAGCUUGUUGGUGGGGUAGUGGCUUACCAAGGCUUUGACGGGUAGCCGGCCUGAGAGGGUGACCGGAAACAGGGGGAGUGGGGGAGGGCCGAGCGUGGUAGGGGGGGGGGGAGGGGGGAAGAUGGACCGAGGGGGGGAGGCGGGGGGCGGGAGCGGGGGGUGGGGGGGGACGGCGUGCGGUGGUUAAGCGGGUGCCGCGUGUGACGAGGGGGGAGGGGCGGUGAGGGGAAAAGACGCACCGGCUAACGAGGCGCCAGCGGCGGCGUGAGUGACCGAGGAGCAGAGGGCGAAAC
This 508-nucleotide ribosomal RNA is filed under the name uncultured bacterium. Its description in RNAcentral is "partial 16S ribosomal RNA". The stretch from base 20 to 332 matches the Rfam family "Bacterial small subunit ribosomal RNA", at positions 47 to 358 of the family's 1533-position model. The record is from RNAcentral.